ACGAACGCUGGCGGCAUGCCUAACACAUGCAAGUCGAACGAGACCUUCGGGUCUAGUGGCGCACGGGUGCGUAACGCGUGGGAAUCUACCUCAGGGUGUGGAAUAACACCGGGAAACCGGUGCUAAUACCGCAUAAUGUCUUCGGACCAAAGGUUUACCGCCUUGAGAGGAGCCCGCGUAAGAUUAGCUAGUUGGUGGGGUAAUGGCCUACCAAGGCGAUGAUCUUUAGCUGGUUUGAGAGGAUGAUCAGCCACACUGGGACUGCGAUACGGCCCAGACUCCUACGGGAGGCAGCAGUUUGGAAUCUUGGACAAUGGGGGCAACCCUGAUCCAGCGACGCCUCGUGUGUGAUGAAGGCCUUCGGGUUGUAAAGCACUUUUGUCUGUGAAGAUAAUGACGGUAACAGACGAAUAAGCCCCGGCUAACUUCGU
RNAcentral lists this ribosomal RNA (431 nucleotides) under uncultured bacterium. RNAcentral describes it as "bacterial SSU rRNA". It matches the Rfam family "Bacterial small subunit ribosomal RNA", at positions 29 to 506 of the family's 1533-position model. The record is from RNAcentral.